RNAcentral lists this long non-coding RNA (1575 nucleotides) under Marmota monax (woodchuck). The record is from RNAcentral. Lineage: Eukaryota; Metazoa; Chordata; Mammalia; Rodentia; Sciuridae.
AAAUGAAGUCUACUCAAGAUAUGACACAUACGCCCUGGGGUACCCAUUGUGGCUCACAUGGUUCCAGGGCUCUCAGUGGGCCUGGCCGUGUGCAAAGGGAUCUUUAGGUCUCUCUGGCACUCGAACCUCAUGUCAGCUCCAUAGCAAUGGCAGCUCCACAGUCUGCCCAUACAGGUGAGGAAGUGGCUGUUCAGGGCAGACGUCUGAUGUGCAGGUCACUAAGCAGGACACUGUGGGAGCAGGGGUCACGGCACUUCUUGCCCUGCAAGGGUUGGCUGGUGGCUCAGCUGGAGGAAGUGGAAGAGCAGGAAAGGGGGAGAUGCAGCCAUCUCUCCCAAAGAGAGAGGAAUAAUACACCCUGAUUCCAGGGCACCUUGGAAGAACUGGGGUUGGAGACACUGGCUAAAUUAAUCCUGGUGAGAAGAUGCUAGUCCUCGGCCCUUCAUGAACCAGACGCUCCUGCACCAGGACCGUGAGAAAGAGGGCUUGCCCUACUCAGCCCUCCCCCUGAGCACUCACCAGGUUCCCUGAAGGAGUCCAGAGCUCAAGAACAGCCUUCCCCUCCAUUUCUGCUCCCCACCCAGGGAUAAGGUGCAUCAUUGCCUGCAGACCUGGGUUGCCCACAGGAGAUGUAGAAGGUAGCUGCUGUCUCUCCUGAGCCCUGUGGCACUGCCUGCCAUUUGCAUCUUCUCCUCCCCCCUCACCUUCCAGCUCCCACUCAUUGGUCCUCUGUGAUGGAGAGUCCCCUCCUUCCUGAGCCCAUAAGUGGAUGCCUGGAGCUCAGGAAGAUGGAUUUUAUGAUUUGGAUAUAAGGUGUUCUCCAAAAGCUCCUGCAUUAAUGCAGGAAUGUGAAAUGAUUGGAGUGUGAGAGCUAUAAGCUAAUCAGUGCAUAGUUUGAAUGGGACUGACUUGGAGGUAUGUGGGGAGCCACUCUGAUUGACCCAUGCCUGAGGCCCUGACCGAUCACUACAUUUCGUAGUGACUUGAGCGUUGUCCCAGAUCAGGAAGUUGAGGGCAUGUCUUCAGAUGUAGGUGUGUCACUCAUGGGCUUGAGCUACACUCACCUGUUAUUUUGUAAUCCUACCCCUUUGCCCUGUUUGGGAUAGAAUGUUCCAUGGAAACUCCCUUUGUGUGUCCCCUUCUCUUGCUCUGCCUUUGGGUGUGGCCUUCCUAGAUGUCAGUCAACCUGCUGACAGCAGACAUCACAAGGCUAGACUCAACCCCCUGAAACCUGGCCCCUUGCCUCAUUUGAAUGGCUUCUCCUCAAUAAAAGGGCUCAGCUCGCACGCUCUCUCCCUCUCUCUCUCUCUCUCUCUCUCUCUGCAGACCCCUAAGGUCAGAGGAGCCGUCACAGGACCCAAAGGAAAAGGAAUCUCUGUCUCUUGUGUGAUUAUUUCGUGCAGCCCAGUUCCUCUGGAGUGACCCUGGGUGUUAGUCUCGAGGAAUGUGACGGAGGUGACUGUCGGCAGAUGGGGUGUGGCUGGAGGAGUCAAAAACUGAGAUGUGCCCUAGAAGAGGGCGUCUUCCUUGCAGCUCCUUACCUCUCCCCAUCUCUCCUCCUGACCCUGACAGGAG